GGGUUGUGAGGUUAAGCGACUAAGCGUACACGGUGGAUGCCCUGGCAGUCAGAGGCGAUGAAGGACGUGCUAAUCUGCGAUAAGCGCCGGUAAGGUGAUAUGAACCGUUAUAACCGGCGAUUUCCGAAUGGGGAAACCCAGUGUGAUUCGUCACACUAUCAUUAACUGAAUCCAUAGGUUAAUGAGGCGAACCGGGGGAACUGAAACAUCUAAGUACCCCGAGGAAAAGAAAUCAACCGAGAUUCCCCCAGUAGCGGCGAGCGAACGGGGAGGAGCCCAGAGCCUGAAUCAGCAUGUGUGUUAGUGGAAGCGUCUGGAAAGGCGCGCGAUACAGGGUGACAGCCCCGUACACAAAAGCGCAUGUGCUGUGAGCUCGAUGAGUAGGGCGGGACACGUGGUAUCCUGUCUGAAUAUGGGGGGACCAUCCUCCAAGGCUAAAUACUCCUGACUGACCGAUAGUGAACCAGUACCGUGAGGGAAAGGCGAAAAGAACCCCGGCGAGGGGAGUGAAAAAGAACCUGAAACCGUGUACGUACAAGCAGUGGGAGCACCCUUCGGGGUGUGACUGCGUACCUUUUGUAUAAUGGGUCAGCGACUUAUAUUCUGUAGCAAGGUUAACCGUAUAGGGGAGCCGGAGGGAAACCGAGUCUUAAUUGGGCGUUAAGUUGCAGGGUAUAGACCCGAAACCCGGUGAUCUAGCCAUGGGCAGGUUGAAGGUUGGGUAACACUAACUGGAGGACCGAACCGACUAAUGUUGAAAAAUUAGCGGAUGACCUGUGGCUGGGGGUGAAAGGCCAAUCAAACCGGGAGAUAGCUGGUUCUCCCCGAAAGCUAUUUAGGUAGCGCCUCGUGAAUUCAUCUCCGGGGGUAGAGCACUGUUUCGGCUAGGGGGCCAUCCCGGCUUACCAACCCGAUGCAAACUGCGAAUACCGGAGAAUGUUAUCACGGGAGACACACGGCGGGUGCUAACGUCCGUCGUGAAGAGGGAAACAACCCAGACCGCCAGCUAAGGUCCCAAAGUCAUGGUUAAGUGGGAAACGAUGUGGGAAGGCCCAGACAGCCAGGAUGUUGGCUUAGAAGCAGCCAUCAUUUAAAGAAAGCGUAAUAGCUCACUGGUCGAGUCGGCCUGCGCGGAAGAUGUAACGGGGCUAAACCAUGCACCGAAGCUGCGGCAGCGAACGUAUCACCCAAGACAACUUUACGGAGUUGACGAUUGACGGAGCGAAGCGACGUCAAAGCGUUCAUUAAAGUCGAGUUGGCUUAGGGAUACGUUCGUUGGGUAGGGGAGCGUUCUGUAAGCCUGUGAAGGUGUGUCGUGAGGCAUGCUGGAGGUAUCAGAAGUGCGAAUGCUGACAUAAGUAACGAUAAAGCGGGUGAAAAGCCCGCUCGCCGGAAGACCAAGGGUUCCUGUCCAACGUUAAUCGGGGCAGGGUGAGUCGACCCCUAAGGCGAGGCCGAAAGGCGUAGUCGAUGGGAAACGGGUUAAUAUUCCCGUACUUGGUGUUACUGCGAAGGGGGGACGGAGAAGGCUAUGUUGGCCGGGCGACGGUUGUCCCGGUUUAAGCGUGUAGGUGUGUGUUCCAGGUAAAUCCGGUUCACUUUAACACUGAGGCGUGACGACGAGGCACUACGGUGCUGAAGCAACAAAUGCCCUGCU
Molecule: ribosomal RNA, 1657 nt
Filed under: Salmonella enterica subsp. enterica serovar Typhimurium
Lineage: Bacteria; Pseudomonadati; Pseudomonadota; Gammaproteobacteria; Enterobacterales; Enterobacteriaceae
Description: partial 23S ribosomal RNA
Rfam family: Bacterial large subunit ribosomal RNA
Source: RNAcentral